AGAGUUUGAUUCUGGCUCAGGAUGAACGCUAGCUACAGGCUUAACACAUGCAAGUCGAGGGGCAGCAUCAUCAAAGCUUGCUUUGAUGGAUGGCGACCGGCGCACGGGUGAGUAACACGUAUCCAACCUGCCGACAACACUGGGAUAGCCUUUCGAAAGAAAGAUUAAUACCGGAUGGCAUAGUUUUUCCGCAUGGGAUAAUUAUUAAAGAAUUUCGGUUGUCGAUGGGGAUGCGUUCCAUUAGGCAGUUGGCGGGGUAACGGCCCACCAAACCAACGAUGGAUAGGGGUUCUGAGAGGAAGGUCCCCCACAUUGGAACUGAGACACGGUCCAAACUCCUACGGGAGGCAGCAGUGAGGAAUAUUGGUCAAUGGACGAGAGUCUGAACCAGCCAAGUAGCGUGAAGGAUGACUGCCCUAUGGGUUGUAAACUUCUUUUAUACGGGAAUAAAGUUAGCCACGUGUGGCUUUUUGUAUGUACCGUAUGAAUAAGGAUCGGCUAACUCCGUGCCAGCAGCCGCGGUAAUACGGAGGAUCCGAGCGUUAUCCGGAUUUAUUGGGUUUAAAGGGAGCGUAGGCGGGUUGUUAAGUCAGUUGUGAAAGUUUGCGGCUCAACCGUAAAAUUGCAGUUGAUACUGGCGACCUUGAGUGCAACAGAGGUAGGCGGAAUUCGUGGUGUAGCGGUGAAAUGCUUAGAUAUCACGAAGAACUCCGAUUGCGAAGGCAGCUUACUGGAUUGUAACUGACGCUGAUGCUCGAAAGUGUGGGUAUCAAACAGGAUUAGAUACCCUGGUAGUCCACACAGUAAACGAUGAAUACUCGCUGUUGGCGAUAUACGGUCAGCGGCCAAGCGAAAGCAUUAAGUAUUCCACCUGGGGAGUACGCCGGCAACGGUGAAACUCAAAGGAAUUGACGGGGGCCCGCACAAGCGGAGGAACAUGUGGUUUAAUUCGAUGAUACGCGAGGAACCUUACCCGGGCUUAAAUUGCAACUGACUGAACCGGAAACGGUUCUUUCUUCGGACAGUUGUGAAGGUGCUGCAUGGUUGUCGUCAGCUCGUGCCGUGAGGUGUCGGCUUAAGUGCCAUAACGAGCGCAACCCUUAUCGAUAGUUACUAGCAGGUCAUGCUGAGGACUCUAUUGAGACUGCCGUCGUAAGAUGUGAGGAAGGUGGGGAUGACGUCAAAUCAGCACGGCCCUUACGUCCGGGGCUACACACGUGUUACAAUGGGGGGUACAGAAGGCAGCUACACGGCGACGUGGUGCUAAUCCCGAAAGCCUCUCUCAGUUCGGAUUGGAGUCUGCAACCCGACUCCAUGAAGCUGGAUUCGCUAGUAAUCGCGCAUCAGCCACGGCGCGGUGAAUAAAAUCCCGCGCCUUGCACA
RNAcentral lists this ribosomal RNA (1383 nucleotides) under uncultured bacterium. Its description in RNAcentral is "bacterial SSU rRNA". It matches the Rfam family "Bacterial small subunit ribosomal RNA". The record is from RNAcentral.